Molecule: non-coding RNA, 4759 nt
Organism: Malus domestica (apple)
Lineage: Eukaryota; Viridiplantae; Streptophyta; Magnoliopsida; Rosales; Rosaceae
Source: RefSeq, a predicted model, not a curated record
AGGGCUAAGAUGCAUGAAGGUCCCCCAAACUUUGCAAAUCUGAGAAAAAGGACAGGACAAACCACCAUGAGUCGCCAGAUCCGAGGGCACAGAGGUCAUCUAGCGUUCCCAAUCUUGCAAUCGCAGCCGAUCUCACCUCAGGGAAAAAAAUUGCAUCUUGGUGGUCUGCACAUAUCUCAGCACGGAACAAAAGAAAAGAUGUCUUCUCGGAGAUCACAAAUCCGAACAAACAGCAGGACACGAGAAUCCAAUGUAUAGCCGAGAGAAGGGAACGCUCUAAGCCCCGGUCCAGUGGUCCCCAAAAAGGGCAAAAGGAACUCCAACGUCUCGGCCUCUGCAAACUCAGGAAGGACAAGGAGUUGGACCCUGGAUGUACUCUCAUUCGUCCAUCCGGCAUCUGCAUGUCCUCAUUCACAAGUUCAAAGCUCUUCAACUUUUUCGCACAAAUUGCUCUAACAUUCCAGCUCUCAAACAUCUCAGAUCCCUAACUCACUCUUCUAGCAUCGACACCCCAAAGUGAGUGGCAUUUUUCUCUCAAUGGAAGACGAUAGUUCAAAUGCGUCAAUGGUUCUGGAAAUGCGAUUACACGUUUGCGUACAUUCAGUCUACCAACAGCAUUUCUAUGCACACAACUCAGACACAUGGAUAUGUUCCAAUCUCUGCGACAAACACUACUGCGAGGCCACUAUCAUAUGCGAAUGUCUUCAUACAUAUCAAUUCCCUCUCUCACCCUUUUCAUGUUUCAUUCAAUAUUAUGUUUUUUUAUCUGAUUUCAUGUGUUUUCUUGACGCUCUUCCAUUCUUUGACUUAGGUAAUGUGUUGUUAUGUUUUCAUGGUCUGGGUCUUUACAUUUGGGUUCGAUUCUUUGCUGAAUGUUGUGAUGGGAUUUGGUGAUUUUCAAUAUUCUUUGACUCUUUUUAAUGCAAAAUCAAAUUAGCCAUCGAAUUUAUAGCAUACAAUCAGUUUCUUUUUAGUUGGGUUCGAAUGAUGUUGAUUGCGCUGUUAUAAAGCUCCUUUUUAUAGUUAGGUUGAAAAUCAUAUCAAUAGAUUCUUUACUUAGUUGCUCCAAUCUGUAACAUAUGAGAUUUUUUUGUUUGAUGUUUUAAUCAAAAUUUGAUCAUUUUUAGUGAAAUUAUAAUGGAAUCACAAAUCAAGUAUAAUGGAAUCACAAAUCAAAUUUGUAUCAUUCUAAAUUAUUCGUUUAGUCACCAAAUGAAAAUAUGGUUGUUGAGUCCAAUUUUGUAUUUUCAUCGACUGAAAUAUUUUCCUUUGAUAGCACUUUGUGCACUGGGUACGACCUUUAUUAUAGCACUUUGUUUUGAUUUGUGAUCGAAUAUCUGAUUUUUGUUACAAUUGUUAUUUUCAUUGCAGGAAAAUGUGGCGGAGACAAUAAUUCCCAAAUCCUCAAGUUUUAUGAAUGCAUUCCAAUUGAUAGCCAUGUCAAAUGAUCUCGAUUUGUCAGGAUGAGAAAUAGAAGAUAAGAAGAAUUGGACCCAAGCAUACCAUUACUGAAACCAUGAAGAAAAUAGAAGCGGCUACAACGGAUGCGAGUCUUUCUGUAGCAAGAACAAACAACUUCAGGAUGUAAAUGCAUGCAAAAUUUCCAAUGGAAACGUAAAUCACCAUAUCCAGGUGGAUUACCAAAAGGAGCUCAUCAAGUAUUCUGCAAGCACGAUCGACCUUGAUCAUUUGGAUAUUUAAAGGAUCCAUUGAUAAAAGGAAGACGACGAAUUGUGAACCUGUGUGCAAAUUUUGCCAAUUUUGCAAACAAGCAGAAAUUUUGGCACAGUGAUCAAACAGGCUUUCAUGUUGUGUAUUUUGAUUAAUAGCUGUGAAACCCACUGUGUCGCACCAUAGACGGUCUCACCUCCGUCCAAUCUUCCUCUCGCCGCCAUUUCCCUUCUCUUGCCUCUGUUGUCUUACUCUUUUCUGUCUUUGGAAUCCUAUCGUCAUCUUCCUCACAUGCAAGGCUCUGGCCCUCUCAAUUGAAACCAAAAUGUGUUUCAGUUCUGAGGAAGAGCAAGAAAAAGGAAGAACCAGUAUUAGAAGAUCUUCCCAAAGAGUACAAUGAUGAUUCUAAGUUUUGAAGGAUUUGAUAAACCAUUGAUAACAAUGUGCGGCGGCACCAACAGUUUUGGACAAGGAACAAGAGGAAAUGGUGGUGCAUGCAUUUGUUCCUCAGAAAGAACCGCAUGUGCACUCUUUUGGAAAAAGAGACCACUGCAUCUCCGUUGCUUGCAAGAAACAUUUAUGGACCAAACCUUAAGGGGAUGAUUACAAAUCAAGGUGUGGAAUUCCAAGUUGCAUAGGUGUUUGUUUACACUUCUUGGACACAUUGAUUACAUCCGAACUGUUCAAUUCCAUCAUGAGUACCCUUGGAUUGUCAGUGCAAGUGAUGACCAGACAAUCAGAAUAUGGAAUUGGCAGUCCCGAACUUGUAUUUCUGUGCUCACUGGACACAACCAUUACGUCAUGUGUGCCUUAUUCCAUCCAAAGGAGGAUCUUGUUGACUCAGCAUCGUUGGAUCAAACUGUUCGUGUUUGGGAUAUUGGUGCCCUCAGGAAAAAGACGGUUGCCCCAGCAGAUGACAUUCUACGCUUGAGUCAGAUGAAUGCAGAUUUCUUUGGUGGAGUUGAUGCUGUUGUGAAGUAUGUUUUGGAAGGUCAUGAUCGGGGUGUGAAUUGGGCAUCAUUUCAUCCUACACUCCCUCUAAUCGUCUCUGGAGCAGACGAUCGACAAGUGAAACUUUGGCGGAUGAAUGAUACAAAGGCUUGGGAAGUGGACACUCUAAGGGGGCACAUGAACAAUGUAUCCUGUGUUCUAUUCCAUUCAAGGCAGGAUAUUAUUGUGUCCAAUUCAGAGGAUAGAAGUAUCCGAGUCUGGGAUGCAACAAAACGGACUGGUCUUCAGACAUUUCGCAGGGAGCAUGAUAGAUUCUGGAUUCUUUCAGCACAUCCUGAAAUGAACCUCUUGGCUGCUGGCCAUGAUAGUGGCAUGAUUGUCUUUAAAUUGGAGAGGGAGCGUCCUGCCUUUUCUGUUAGCGGUGAUUCAAUGUACUAUGUUAAAGAUCGUGGUUCUUCCAACUUGAAUCAAGGGGCAAAGACACUAUCUUACAGCCCCACAGAAAAUGCUGCUUUGAUAUGUUCAGAUAUGGAAGGGGGGUCUUAUGAACUAUACGUUAUACCCAAAGAUAGCUUUGGUCGGGGUGAUACUGCGCAGGAGGCAAAAAGAGGAAUUGGAGGCCCUACCUAUUGUUGCUGAUGCAAUAUUUUAUGCUGGAACUGGAAACUUGCUGUGCAGGGCAGAGGACAGAGUCAUUAUUUUUGACCUGCAGCAGAGAAUUAUUGUUGGGGAGCUAGGGAUGACAAUGGCGUCUUCAUAUAUACAACCUUGAACCACAGCAAAUACUGCCUUCCUAAUGGGGAUAGUAGAAUCAUCAGGACCCUCGACGCUCCUGUAUAUAUAACAAAAGUGUAUGGAAACACCAUACAUUGCUUGGGUCGAGAUGGGAAGAACUGUGCCAUUGUUGUUGAUGCAACAGAAUAUGUUUUCAAGUUAUCCUUUACUGAAGAAGAGGUAUGACCAGGUUAUGAGCAUGAUAAGGAGUUCUGAGCCCUGUGGCCAGGCCAUGAUUGCAUAUCUACAGCAGAAAGGUUUCCCUGAGGUUGCCCUUCAUUUGUGAAGGAUGAGAGGACUCGCUUCAACUUGGCACUAGGAAGCGGGAACAUCCAGAUUGCUGUUGCUUCUGCCAAGGAAAUUGAUGAGAAAGAUCACUGGUAUCGAUUGGGAGUGGAGGCCCUUCGUCAGGGUAAUGCAGGCAUUGUAGAAUAUGCAUAUCAGAGGACAAAGAAUUUUGAGAGGCUAUCAUUCUUAUAUCUUGUGACUGGAAACUUGGAUAAAUUGUCCAAAAUGUUGAAAAUUGCUGAAGUCAAGAAUGAUGUGAUGGGCCAGUUCCACAAUGCUUUGUAUUUGGGUGACAUCAGAGAGCGUGUUAAGAUCUUGGAGAAUGCAGGUCAUUUACCUCUUGCUUAUAGCACAGCUGUAAUUCAUGGGCUCCAUGAUAUUGCCGAACGUUUGGCGGCUGAACUGGGAGAUAAUGUUCCUGUUUUACCCAAGGUGAAAUCUCCGUCCCUUUUGUUACCACCAACGCCAAUCAUCUGCGGAGGAGAUUGGCCUUUGUUGAGGGUCAUGCGAGGAAUAUUAUGAAGACGCUGCAGAUGCUGACUGGGGAGAGGAGUUGGAUCUUGUUGACGUGGACAAUAUUCCAAAUGGAGACAUCAGUGCAGUGCUGGAUGAUGAGGAAGCACACGAGGAAAAUGAGGAGGGAGGAUGGGAUCUUGAAGAUCUUGAGGAUAUGAUUUCAGAAACCCAUUUGUGGUUUGUGGGGCAACAUAUGUGCCUAUUUACCGUGGACAGAAGGAUGUGUCAUGCCCAUACUGCAGUUCUCGGUUUGUUCCGGACCAGGAAGGGAAGCUCUGUACUGUUUGUGAUCUUUCAGUGGUUGGAUCAGAUGCAUCUGGUUUGCUCUGUUCUCCUACCCAGAUAAGAUGAUCUCCUGCUGCUCAAGUGGGAGCAAUUUUUCCAACCUUCAAGUCCGACAACGGUUAUGUUAGUUUUCUCAUCUCCUUGAGCAGGGUUUUAUGUUAAAGAGCGCAAUUUGAUUAGGUUGUGUGCUUCUCUUGUAUUUCUAUUUCAAAUUUUAUUUCAAGGUACGUGAUCAUGAUUUCGCUGUAAUGAACAGGUGGAGCAUUUUGGUCUA